AUACGUAGGGAGCGAGCGUUAUCCGGAUUUAUUGGGCGUAAAGCGCGCGUAGGCGGGCUAUUAAGUCAGGUGUCAAAGCCCGGGGCUCAACCCCGGCACGCACCUGAAACUGGUAGUCUUGAGUCUGGUAGGGGAAAGUGGAAUUCCCAGUGUAGCGGUGAAAUGCGCAGAUAUUGGGAAGAACACCAGUGGCGAAGGCGGCUUUCUAGGCCACGACUGACGCUGAGGCGCGAAAGCUAGGGGAGCAAACAGGAUUAGAUACCCUGGUAGUCCUAGCCGUAAACGAUGAAUACUAGGUGUGGGGGAGUAAUCUCUUCCGUGCCGCAGCUAACGCAUUAAGUAUUCCGCCUGGGGAGUACGGCCGCAAGGCUAAAACUCAAAUGAAUUGACGGGG
Molecule: ribosomal RNA, 394 nt
Filed under: uncultured bacterium
Lineage: Bacteria
Description: partial 16S ribosomal RNA
Rfam family: Bacterial small subunit ribosomal RNA
Source: RNAcentral